CCUGCUUAGUGUUACCGUAUAGACAUACACGCUCAUUUUUUUUUUGUUCAGUUCACCCUUGAGCAUCUUAGAUCUGACUCUAUAUUCCUGCGUGAUAAUCGGAAAAUUGGCAAAUUUAAAAUUACAUUAACAAAAAUCAAAAUUAAAAUCUUUCGUUUGACUUGAACGGAAAUUAAAAGAUCUUCCAAACGCGAGGCUACAUUGUAGCAGCUAUUUUUGUAAAAUCUAAUUAAUUUGAUUUCAUUUUACAUGUUCGUAAUUAAACUUUUAUUUUUUACUCAAUGUGACAGGUAGACCAUCGCACUACAGCGUAACCACCACCGC
Molecule: long non-coding RNA, 324 nt
Filed under: Mytilus galloprovincialis (Mediterranean mussel)
Lineage: Eukaryota; Metazoa; Mollusca; Bivalvia; Mytilida; Mytilidae
Source: RNAcentral